GGACCUUUAGUGCAGCUGAUUAGAGCAAACAGCUCAUAGCCGUUCGAUUAUAGGUUCGAGUCCUACAAGGUCCA
RNAcentral lists this transfer RNA (74 nucleotides) under Bacillus cereus. RNAcentral describes it as "tRNA-Met". It matches the Rfam family "tRNA". Rfam says of the family: Transfer RNA (tRNA) molecules are approximately 80 nucleotides in length. The record is from RNAcentral. Lineage: Bacteria; Bacillati; Bacillota; Bacilli; Caryophanales; Bacillaceae.